RNAcentral lists this ribosomal RNA (498 nucleotides) under uncultured bacterium. RNAcentral describes it as "bacterial SSU rRNA". It matches the Rfam family "Bacterial small subunit ribosomal RNA", at positions 1 to 518 of the family's 1533-position model. The record is from RNAcentral.
AGUAGUUGAUUAUGGCUCGAGGACGAACGCUGGCGGCGUGCCUAAUACAUGCAAGUCGAACGGGCCACUGAAUUCGGUUUGGUGGUUAGUGGCGAACGGGUGAGUAACGCGUGAGGAACCUGACCUUUAGAGGGGGAUAACACCUGGAAACGGGUGCUAAUACCGCAUAAGACCACAAUGUCGCAUGGCAAAGGGGUCAAAGGAGCAAUCCGCUAAAGGAGGGACUCGCGUCCCAUUAGAUAGUUGGUGAGGUAACGGCCCACCAAGUCGACGAUGGGUAGCCGAGCUGAGAGGCUGAUCGGCCACACUGGAACUGAGACACGGUCCAGACUCCUACGGGAGGCAGCAGUAGGGAAUAUUGGGCAAUGGGGGAACCCUCGACCCAGCAACGCCGCGUGAGGGAAGAAGGUUUUCGGAUUGUAAACCUCUGUCCUAUGUGACGAAGAAAGUGACGGUAGCAUAGGAGGAAGCCCCGGCUAACUACGUGCCAGCAGCUGC